UUAAAGUAUUGUAUAAAGACUCAGAAUACUGGUUUAAAAAAGGGUUUUGGUUGGUCCUGCGGCGGGCGCACGAGAGCCGUGCGUGAGCAGCGGCCGACGGCGUCACCCCCUGAAGGAGGCGGCGGCGGCCCGCCGAGGCAACAGAGGUAUGGUAGACAUUGGGUUGGAGGUCGGGCCCCGAAGGACCCUUUCUCGUUAAUGAUCCCUCCGCAGGUUCACCUACGGAGA
Molecule: unclassified non-coding RNA, 228 nt
Filed under: uncultured fungus
Lineage: Eukaryota; Fungi
Description: sequence contains ITS1
Source: RNAcentral